This 433-nucleotide unclassified non-coding RNA is filed under the name uncultured Russula. RNAcentral describes it as "sequence contains ITS2". The stretch from base 1 to 154 matches the Rfam family "5.8S ribosomal RNA". The record is from RNAcentral. Lineage: Eukaryota; Fungi; Basidiomycota; Agaricomycetes; Russulales; Russulaceae.
AACUUUUGGCAACGGAUCACUUGGCUCUCGCAUCGAUGAAGAACGCAGCGAGAUGCGAUACGUAAUGUGAAUUGCAGAAUUCAGUGAAUCAUCGAAUCUGUGAACGCACCUUGCGCCCCUUGGAAUUCCGAGGGGCACACCCGUUUGAGUGUCGUGAACAUCCUUCAACCUUUCUUGGUUUCUUAACCGGGGAAGGCUUGGACUUUGGGGGUCUUUCAUUGCUGGCCUCUUUGAAGCCAGCUCCUCCUAAAUGGAUUAGUGUGGUCUGCUUUGCCGAUCCUUGACGUGAUAAGAUGUUUCUACGUCUUGGGUUUCGCACUGUCGCUUUAGACCCCGCUUCUAACCGUCUUGCCUUCAAGACAGAGUUUUAAACCUUGACCUCAAAUCGGGUGAGACUACCCGCUGAACUUAAGCAUAUCAAUAAGCGGAGGCU